RNAcentral lists this ribosomal RNA (785 nucleotides) under Fusicatenibacter sp. Its description in RNAcentral is "partial 23S ribosomal RNA". It matches the Rfam family "Bacterial large subunit ribosomal RNA", at positions 2164 to 2925 of the family's 2925-position model. Lineage: Bacteria; Bacillati; Bacillota; Clostridia; Lachnospirales; Lachnospiraceae. The record is from RNAcentral.
UGGAACGCCAGUUUCAGGGGAGCCAUUGUUGGGAUACCACCCUUGUGCUGCUGGGCUUCUAACCAGCGGCCUUUAUCAGGCCGGGGGACAAUGCCAGACGGGGAGUUUGACUGGGGCGGUCGCCUCCGAAAGGGUAUCGGUGGGGCUCAAAGGUUCCCUCAGAAAGGGCGGAAACCAUUCGAAGAGGGCAAAGGCAGAAGGGAGCUUGACUGCGACACCGACGGGUGGAGCAGGUACGAAAGUAGGACUUAGUGAUCCGGGGGUAUUAAGUGGGAAUGCCAUCGCUCAACGGAUAAAAGCUACCCUGGGGAUAACAGGCUUAUCACUCCCAAGAGUUCACAUCGACGGAGUGGUUUGGCACCUCGAUGUCGGCUCAUCGCAUCCUGGGGCUGUAGUAGGUCCCAAGGGGUGGGCUGUUCGCCCAUUAAAGCGGUACGCGAGCUGGGUUCAGAACGUCGUGAGACAGUUCGGUCCCUAUCCGGCGUGGGCGUAGGAUAUUUGAGAGGAGCUGUCCUUAGUACGAGAGGACCGGGAUGGACUGACCUCUGGUGUACCGGUUUGGACUGACGUGUGUUUAACGGUUUGAACCGCCAGUUACACGGCCGGGUAGCCAAGUCGGGAAGGGAUAAACGCUGAAGGCAUCUAAGCGUGAAGCCCCCCUCAAGAUGAGAUAUCCCAUUCGAAAGAAGUAAGACCCCUUGAAGACGACGAGGUAGAUAGGGCAGGGGUGGAAGUGCCGUAAGGCAUGGAGCUGACUGUUACUAAUCGGUCGAGGGCUUGACCUA